Molecule: ribosomal RNA, 239 nt
Filed under: uncultured bacterium
Lineage: Bacteria
Description: partial 16S ribosomal RNA
Rfam family: Bacterial small subunit ribosomal RNA
Source: RNAcentral
CGCACCUUUCGGGGUGAGUGGCAGACGGGUGAGUAACACGUGGGAACGUACCCUUCGGUUCGGGAUAACUCAGGGAAACUUGAGCUAAUACCGGAUACGCCCUUUGGGGGAAAGGUUUACUGCCGAAGGAUCGGCCCGCGUCUGAUUAGCUAGUUGGUGGGGUAAUGGCCUACCAAGGCGACGAUCAGUAGCUGGUCUGAGAGGAUGAUCAGCCACACUGGGACUGAGACACGGCCCAG